GCCCCAUCCUCCAUUCUCCAGUCUCCUAGGAUACCGGAAUGUUCACAUUAAGACCUUUCUGACCAUCUGACCGGAGAGCUGGGGACUAUGUGUGCACUAAAGAUGCCCAGAAAAACUGCAGUUCUGACUGGCCCAUCCCCAGCACACAGCCAGUAACCCAGCCAGAGCCACCUCCCAGUCCAGUCCAGUCAUAUGCUAUCGAGCCUACAACCUUCUACACCUCUUGCCAAAUACCAGCUCUAGUAAAAUCCACACUACACCAGCCACCUCCUCCAGGAGGACUGCCUUCUUCCACAUUUCCCCCAACUCUCAGGAAACUUCUCUCCUCGAGUAGGCUGAGGUUUCCAGGAAUAGGAAGGUAAGGAGUGUAAGGAUAGAGCCAUGACCAGGGUCUAUGUAAAGGGUUGUCCUGAUCAAUGGCCUUCCUUGAGCCCUGAACUACCGCUACAGUCAGAGGGCAGAAACAAUAUAAGUAUGCACCGAAGGGUGACCAAAUAGAUAUCUUCAGUGGCUGAUAUUUGACCACAGAAAAGGAGCACUCUGACAUAUGGACAAGACUUGAGGGAUGGUUUUAUGGUUAAGAAUACUGGCUUCUUCCGGAGGACCUAGGUUCUUAUCCCGGCACCCACACAAUGGUUCACAACCAUCUGUGACUCCAGUUUUAAGGGAGCUAAUGUCUUCUGGCCUGUGAGGAUACCAGGCACACAAGUGAUGCGUGCAUAUAUAUGGAUGAGCUGCCUCUGUGUGUGUGUGUGUGUGUGUGUGUGUGUAUACACAAGAGGGCCAUGCGGUCUUGGUACACACCUUUAAUCCCAGCACCAGGGGGCAGAGGCAGGUGUAUUUCUGAGUUCAAGGCCAACCUGGUCUACAGAGUGAGUUCCAGGACAGCCAGGGAUACACAGAAAAAGCCUAUAUCUCAACAUACCUUCCUCCUACCCUCAACCCCGCUGCCCUUCCCCCACCCCCACCCCCAAAAAAAAGAAAGGAAGGAAGGAAGAAAAUGUCUGGCUAAGUGAAAAGCCAAAUUAAAAGACAGCUCUGCUGAUUUGGAGUCUGGAAGACCAGACCCUGGAGCAGAGCAGAGGGUGAGCGGCUAGGGCUGGAGUAGAACAGGGAUCAACUGGCUCGUUGCACGGGAGAUGGAAACUGCAUAAGGAAGAUGCUCGCACAGCCAUCCCGUCCACCAAAUGCCAGAAAAGGUCGACCUGGUGCCAGGAGUGGAAAGCUAUUACCAAACACCCUUAUCUACUAACAAGAAGAACAACGCCCUGAGGAGGUGUGAGCACAGACCACAGGUAGGGAAACUGAGGUUGGAGAAGGAAAGACUCUGGUGCUGAAGGAGCUAGAUGGAAAUGAUCUCCUGAAGAGUCUCCGUGGAGUGUGCUUUCCAGCAGACAGGGGCUGGCCCCAUGAUGGAUGGUUUCCCACUUGUCUCCGUCAUCCUCUUUUUCCCCCUUCACCCCACAAUAAACCUCUCUCACACAGAA
Molecule: non-coding RNA, 1487 nt
Organism: Rattus norvegicus (Norway rat)
Lineage: Eukaryota; Metazoa; Chordata; Mammalia; Rodentia; Muridae
Source: RefSeq, a predicted model, not a curated record